Molecule: ribosomal RNA, 501 nt
Filed under: uncultured bacterium
Lineage: Bacteria
Description: partial 16S ribosomal RNA
Rfam family: Bacterial small subunit ribosomal RNA
Source: RNAcentral
AUUGAACGCUGGCGGCAUGCCUUACACAUGCAAGUCGAACGGCAGCACGGGUGCUUGCACCUGGUGGCGAGUGGCGAACGGGUGAGUAAUACAUCGGAACGUACCUUAUCGUGGGGGAUAACGCAGCGAAAGCUGUGCUAAUACCGCAUACGCCCUGAGGGGGAAAGCGGGGGAUCGAAAGACCUCGCGCGAUUAGAGCGGCCGAUGCCUGAUUAGCUUGUUGGUGGGGUAAAAGCCCACCAAGGCGACGAUCAGUAGCUGGUCUGAGAGGACGAUCAGCCACGCUGGGACUGAGACACGGCCCAGACUCCUACGGGAGGCAGCAGUGGGGGAUUUUGGACAAUGGGGGCAACCCUGAUCCAGCAAUGCCGCGUGAGUGAAGAAGGCCUUCGGGUUGUAAAGCUCUUUUGUCAGGGAAGAAACACCGGCUCUAACACAGUCCGGGAAUGACGGUACCUGAAGAAUAAGCACCGGCUAACUACGUGCCAGCCGCCGCAGUAA